This 1410-nucleotide ribosomal RNA is filed under the name Senobasis corsair. RNAcentral's name for it is "eukaryotic LSU rRNA". It matches the Rfam family "Eukaryotic large subunit ribosomal RNA", at positions 667 to 1875 of the family's 3401-position model. The record is from RNAcentral. Lineage: Eukaryota; Metazoa; Arthropoda; Insecta; Diptera; Asilidae.
CGUGGAGUCUAGCAUGUGYGCAAGUCAUUGGGUUUAUUAAACCUAAAGGCGUAAUUAACUUAACUGUUAAAUAUAAUGGGAUUAAUUAUAUAUUAUUAAUAUAUAUAUUCCAUCCCGGGGCGUUCUAUAUAGUUAUGCAUUUUAAUAUAUAUUUUAUUUUUUAAAUAAGAUUUUAUUAUAUAUGCCUCUAACUAGAGCGUACCUUGAGCAUAUAUGUUGUGACCCGAAAGAUGGUGAACUAUACCUGAUCAGGUUGAAGUCAGGGGAAACCCUGAUGGAAGACCGAAGCAGUUCUGACGUGCAAAUCGAUUGUCAGAAUUGGGUAUAGCGGCGGAAGACCAAUCGAACCAUCUAGUAGCUGGUUCCCUCCGAAGUUUCCCUCAGGAUAGCUGGUGCAAUUAAAAUAUUAUGUAAAAUAAUCUUAUCUGGUAAAGCAAAUGAUUAGAGGCAUUAGGGCCGAAACGACCUUAACCUAUUCUCAAACUUUAAAUGGGUAAGAACCUUACCUUUCUUGAUAUGAAGGUAUAGGUUAUGAUAUAUUGUGCCCAGUGGGCCAAUUUUGGUAAGCAGAACUGGCGCUGUGGGAUGAACCAAACGUGAUGUUACGGCGCCCAAAUUAACAACUCAUACCGAUACCAUGAAAGGCGUUGGUUGCUUAAAACAGCAGGACGGUGGACAUGGAAGUCGUAAUCCGCUAAGGAGUGUGUAACAACUCACCUGCCGAAGCAACUAGCCCUUAAAAUGGAUGGCGCUCAAGUUGUAUGCCUAUACAUCACCGUUAAAGUAUAUGAUUUAUUUAUUAAUUUAUAAAUAAAUUUUGAAACUUUAAUGAGUAGGAGGGUACAAUGGUGUGCGUAGAAGUGUUUGGCGUAAGCCUGCAUGGAGCCACCAUUGGCACAGAUCUUGGUGGUAGUAGCAAAUAAUCGAAUGAGACCUUGGAGGACUGAAGUGGAGAAGGGUUUCGUGUGAACAGUGGUUGAUCACGAGUUAGUCGGUCCUAAGUUCAAGGCGAAAGCCAAAAAAUUGUAAGUUAUAAAUUAUAUAUAUUUAUAAAUAUUAUAAAAUAUUUUUUAAUAUAAUAUACUUAUAAUAAUUGAACGAAAGGGAAUACGGUUCCAAUUCCGUAACCUGUUGAGUAUACGUUUGUAAUUAAAAAUGGGCUUUUAUGCUCAUCCUGGUAACAGAAACAACCAUAAAGAAGCCGUCGAGAAAUAUCGAAAGAGUUUUCUUUUCUGUUUCAUAGUCGUACUACCAUGGAAGUCUUUCGAAGAGAGAUAUGGUAGAUGGGCUAGAAGAGCAUGGCAUUUACUGCUGUGUCGAUAUUUUCUCCUCGGACCUUGAAAAUUUAUGGUAGGGUAACGCAAACUUCUUAACAGGCCGUACCGAUAUCCGCAGCUGGUCUCCAAGGGA